Zalophus californianus (California sea lion) is the source of this 1322-nucleotide long non-coding RNA. RefSeq lists it as uncharacterized. Lineage: Eukaryota; Metazoa; Chordata; Mammalia; Carnivora; Otariidae. The transcript has 2 exons. The record is from RefSeq and is a predicted model, not a curated record.
CGCCCCCCACCCCGGGCCCCGCCGCGCGCCCGCCGCCGCCGCCGCCGGGCCGUGACCUUCAGGGACCGAGCGCGGAGAGCGGGGCCCCUGAAGGGACAGAGCGCUCUGGUGGCUGUGGAGCCUUUGUUCACCUGUUCUCCAGGUAUGAGCCGAGAGGUUAUGAGAACAUCUCCAUCGUGGGCCACCAGCAGGCCAGGACUCCAAUGUAGAGGGGCGGAUCCCUGGAGGUCACUCCUUGGCCCUUUUCUGGAGACUGCCAGCCAGCAUGCCAUCCCAGCUGCACUGUGGGGGUGAAGGGUGGGGUGAUCAUCAAUGAGGAUGAAGGCCAUCCCCCUGUCACUCAUCUUGCCAAGCCAUUACCAGGCGGUCAGGACUCAUGGGCAGUGUCUCCUCCGGGACCAGUGCUGACAUCUGUAACCUCCAUCCACCCUUGUGGUCCCAUCCAGCCAUCUCUGCCCACCCGCCUGGCCCACUCUGUCGUGAAGUUCUCAUCAGCCUUCCCCUUGUGCCUAGUCGUAACUCACAGGGACUCCAACGCCCGUAGGGCAGACCAUCGGAAGUGUCACCUCUUAUUCCCGGCUAGAGACGUCCAGAGGACAAUCAGCUUCAGAUUAUACCACCGAUAAGGUAGGCACAAUGGGGGCCUGACCCAUGUCAUCUCGGAAGCAAUCCAGUGCUUUCUGGCCUUCUCCUGUUUGCAGAGCAAACGCUCUGAGGAAGAGACACAAGGAAGACCCCAUCCUCCUUGUGGACAAAUAUUUUUGUUAGUCUGUUGCAAGGAGAAGAAACCGUGUUCUGGAAGAAAUGAAUAACCCCAUAAGACACAGGCGGGGGACUGUGCACGUGGAAUAAGAGAGUUAUGGAACAUUCUAGAAACACACCUAGCAUUAGUUACAUUUGGACUCUCCACAAUGCAUCAGGCACUUUCUCAAUGGCAUCAUGUGGUAAGAGUUGCAUUGCCUUAGUCCAGCCACCACGAAGGACUUUGAGCUCUUUGUCCUCGGCUUUGUUUCAAACCUGAGGGAAACACGAUGACAAUUCAGGGGGGCCCUGCCACGCAGGGCGUGUACGUCUCCAUGAAUGUACUUGGCAGUGUGCAACCCGGCAACGCCCACCCUCCCCCCAUCCUGUCCGUAUGCACCCUGGUGAGCAUUUUAUACACCCUCCUCAAAUGCUACCAUCGUUCUGUCUCGCAGGUGUGAUGUAUGGCGCCCUCCGUGUUGUCCCAUCAUAGCUUCUGCCUCCCCACACGGAGGGAGGCAACAAAGACAAAGCUGAGACGUUAUGGCUAUUCCAGAAAAUAAAAUAUUUUUGAAACUGCA